Molecule: transfer RNA, 72 nt
Organism: Ipomoea nil (Japanese morning glory)
Lineage: Eukaryota; Viridiplantae; Streptophyta; Magnoliopsida; Solanales; Convolvulaceae
Rfam family: tRNA
About the family: Transfer RNA (tRNA) molecules are approximately 80 nucleotides in length. Their secondary structure includes four short double-helical elements and three loops (D, anti-codon, and T loops). Further hydrogen bonds mediate the characteristic L-shaped molecular structure. tRNAs have two regions of fundamental functional importance: the anti-codon, which is responsible for specific mRNA codon recognition, and the 3' end, to which the tRNAs corresponding amino acid is attached (by aminoacyl-tRNA synthetases). tRNAs cope with the degeneracy of the genetic code in two manners: having more than one tRNA (with a specific anti-codon) for a particular amino acid; and 'wobble' base-pairing, i.e. permitting non-standard base-pairing at the 3rd anti-codon position.
Source: Rfam
GCGUUUGUAGUCCAACGAUUAGGAUAAUUCCCUUUUAAGCAAUAGACCCGGGUUCAACUCCCGGCAAACGCA